CUUCAAAUCACCCUGAGUUUGAAUCCGGUGUUAAGAAAAACAAAAGCAGCCUCAGUUUUCCAAGUGGGUAUUUUCUGUGGGGUCACUACCAAAUGGAAACCACAACCACACUGGUCAAAAUGCUGUUGUGGGGCUCGAGGAGCAGAGAGCUGUGUGAGUGUGUGGAGGAAGAUUAAGGAGGAACUGAGGAAGUGGAGACCAAAUCAUCCAGAGCUUGAACACCAUCUACAGCUACUCUAGCCUGAUAGGACUGCCACCUAGAUGAACAGAAACCAUGGACUGUGAGGAACAGCAGCAGCUCCGGCCUCUCCUGAGGAUGCAGCUUUCUCCCACCCUGGAUCGAGUGAUGGAAGCCUCAAAGAAGGUGUUGGGUCAAAUCCUACCAGAGGUAUUUUCUUUCUGGAUGUAGCUCUACUGGACCAAACUGAUACAAAGACUAGAGAAUAAGAGCUUCCAAACAAGUAAGUGUCUAAGUGUUAUAGCACUAUGCUUAUUAUUUCUUGCCUUUUUUAUUUCCUGGCUGAC
Molecule: long non-coding RNA, 525 nt
Filed under: Zonotrichia albicollis (white-throated sparrow)
Lineage: Eukaryota; Metazoa; Chordata; Aves; Passeriformes; Passerellidae
Description: lncRNA (ENSZALG00000005638.1)
Source: RNAcentral